GACGCAGAAAGUUCUUUUUUGCUGUUUAGCUUUGCAUGGAUAUGGAUGUUCUUGGGUUUCUAACUUUUCUCUGUCUUCUUUGUUUUAUAGAUUGAGUGUGAGCCAAGCAUAUUUGAUGCCUGAAUUUGGAGCGAACACUUUAACUAAUAAACAGUGAUGAGUAUCUAGAUCUUAUAUUCUUAUCACAACUAUUGUCACCAAGAGAAUUGCUAGAGUUACAAAUUGUCGUGUGCAUGCUCGAGGAGUGGCCGUUAAGUCAAGUGAGUGGUUUUUGUUAUUGAUUGCUCUAAACCAGCUGAUGAUACGAACAUGGAUUUCUCCACGCUUGAGAAGUUUCUUCAGGAACAAAUCAAAGUCGGCGCCAAGCCGGAACUCUUAGUGACACCGUUUCCAUUAUGCGAGAGAGACAAAGGCAAGAUCACCGUUAUCGUCAUCACCGCUCCCAACCUCUCCAAAUGGUACAUCACGAUUUUCAUUUUGAGGAACUUCCAAGUAUCUGACCAGAUAUAUUUGAGAAAGUACAAUCUCCGUGAUUGGCUUUGCGUGAUUGCGUUGAACAACGACAAGGACCGUUUUCUUCCAGUGCCAAGGAAUAAAUGCUUGGCGUUCUUCCUCUGUUUACUUAAAAGAAUAGGUCGGAUCUGUUUAAGAAGUUGCAGAAGAAAAAAGCAUUUUCCAUGAUGUAUAAAGAGAGAAGAGCAGCAACUACUAGCUUAAUCUCCAUGUAUUGUCAAACGGACUGUAAAAAAGACGUUUGCUUGGUUCCGUAAGCAGAUGUUAGUCUCAGGUUCCGCCCUGCAGGGAUUGAUAUAGUAACCGGUUGGGGUAGACAUUUUAGAGUUACUGCUACAGCAAUUGUGAGACAAACCGUUGAAGAGCUGCUCUACAUCUUUGGCUCAGCGUUUUUCAUGGAGAUUGAAAACUCAGAUUGUUUAGUUGUAUGUGGUGAGUCUCUGAUUGCUUUAGUCUAACGUUGAUAGGAUGCAUUUGCUGUGAGUUUUGUUUGUUUCUCAUUUUUUACUUUUUACAAAGUAUUACCUACUACCCAGUGUUGUACCUGAAGCUCUUUAUUAGUCUUCACAAGCCA
RNA transcript from Brassica oleracea var. oleracea, 1087 nucleotides. It is a transcript of the gene named 60S ribosomal protein L22-3-like, with no coding region annotated. The record is from RefSeq and is a predicted model, not a curated record. NCBI's taxonomy places the organism in Eukaryota, Viridiplantae, Streptophyta, Magnoliopsida, Brassicales, Brassicaceae. The transcript has 3 exons.